This 377-nucleotide long non-coding RNA is filed under the name Malus domestica (apple). RNAcentral describes it as "long non-coding RNA (MDOM_LNC007996)". The record is from RNAcentral. Lineage: Eukaryota; Viridiplantae; Streptophyta; Magnoliopsida; Rosales; Rosaceae.
CCAUCUCUAUCUUUCAAGUUGUAGUAUCCUGCGGUAAGCUCCGCGGCGUGAUUAUCAACUUCAUACCACCAGUGGAUUCCAGAUACCUGUAAUCAAGCAGAUUCUCGGAUUAACAUUGGGCGAAAGAUCGUAGGUACUGCUAAUAACAGUUUUUUAUGACAUUAGAAUAUUUACUUUGGCUGCUAGCUUUAAUUUACAGCCCACAAAAACUUUGUUGGCUUCAUCCAGGAUCUGAUCACCAUGGAUCAUUAAUUUGUUAGAGUACCAAGUCAAGAAGAACUUCCCUUUCUCAGUAACAUAUGUCCCAUUUGAUCUGAAGAACUCCGAGGAUUCAGGAGUGUCAUUAUAUUCUCCGGCGUUAUCUGGCAAAGCCCACU